Molecule: long non-coding RNA, 428 nt
Filed under: Cavia porcellus (domestic guinea pig)
Lineage: Eukaryota; Metazoa; Chordata; Mammalia; Rodentia; Caviidae
Description: lncRNA (ENSCPOG00000040017.1)
Source: RNAcentral
UGGGUAUCCGAGCUGAGCUCAUGCACACGUUUCUGCGGCUGAUGUCCAGAGCAUUAGCAUUCACUUCUCGCUCUCAGCCAAAGAACUGGUUUAGCAAAGACCCGCACUUGGUGUGUCCCUCAGGGCUGCAUUUCCAUCAGUCACCAACACAGUUUAGUUAAGGCACUCAAUUAUUUUUUUGGUUUUUAUGGUAGGUCCGACGCAAUGACAGCCAAUCCCGAGCUCUGUCUAACUGCAGUUCCAGUGUGUACAGCCUUUGGGCAGUCGGGCGUCAAGACGCGGCCGUUUUCUCCUACACUCCCAGUGAUGGAUAACCUGGCUUUGUUUCUUAUGGCUUCAGAAAAGGGUCGGCUCAAGGACUACUGUUACAAACCAACAAUGGGGAUUUGUGCUUUAAAAAUAAAGGUGGCUAGUAUAAAGCCGAUUAG